RNAcentral lists this ribosomal RNA (462 nucleotides) under uncultured bacterium. RNAcentral's name for it is "SSU rRNA". It matches the Rfam family "Bacterial small subunit ribosomal RNA", at positions 26 to 518 of the family's 1533-position model. The record is from RNAcentral.
AGGAUUAACGCUGGCGGCGUGCCUAACACAUGCAAGUCGAACGAGGUAGCAAUACCUAGUGGCAGACGGGUGAGUAGCGCGUGGUCAACCUACCGUUGAGUGGGGGAUAACUAGCCGAAAGGUUAGCUAAUACCGCAUACGUCUCCGAGGGGCAUCCCUUGGUGAUAAAAGGAGCAAUCCGCUCGAUGACGGGACCGCGUCCCAUUAGCUAGUUGGUGGGGUAACGGCCUACCAAGGCAUCGAUGGGUAGCUGGUUUGAGAGAGCGACCAGCCACACUGGGACUGAGAUACGGCCCAGACUCCUACGGGAGGCAGCAGUGAGGAAUUUUCCGCAAUGGGCGAAAGCCUGACGGAGCGACGCCGCGUGUGGGAAGAAGGCCUUCGGGUCGUAACCACUGUCGAGGGGAAGAUAAUGACGGUACCCUUGGAGGAAGCCCCGGCUAACUACGUGCCAGCAGCCGC